RNAcentral lists this ribosomal RNA (116 nucleotides) under Pteropus alecto (black flying fox). Lineage: Eukaryota; Metazoa; Chordata; Mammalia; Chiroptera; Pteropodidae. The record is from RNAcentral.
GUCUAUGGCCAUGACACCCUGAACAAGCCCAAUGUCUGAUCUUGGAAGCUAAGCAAUGUCGGGCCUGGUUAGUACUUGGAUGGGAGACCACCUAGGAAGACCAGGUGCUGUAGGCA